RNAcentral lists this ribosomal RNA (473 nucleotides) under uncultured bacterium. RNAcentral's name for it is "bacterial SSU rRNA". It matches the Rfam family "Bacterial small subunit ribosomal RNA", at positions 355 to 825 of the family's 1533-position model. The record is from RNAcentral.
UCGAGAGGCUUCGGCAAUGGGGGAAACCCUGACCGAGCGACGCCGCGUGGGUGAUGAAGAUUCUCGGAUCGUAAAGCUCUGUCGGAGGGAACGAAUGCUCCUGAAGUUAACAGCCUCAGGAGGUGACGGUACCCUCAAAGGAAGCACCGGCUAACUCUGUGCCAGCAGCCGCGGUAAUACAGAGGGUGCAAGCGUUGCUCGGAUUUACUGGGCGUAAAGCGUGCGCAGACGGUUUGGUAAGUGGGACGUGAAAGCCUGGGGCUCAACCCCAGAAUUGCGUUCCAGACUGCCCGACUCGAGUAUGAGAGAGGAAAGUGGAAUUCCUGGUGUAGAGGUGAAAUUCGUAGAUAUCAGGAGGAACACCAGCGGCGAAGGCGGCUUUCUGGCUCAUUACUGACGUUCAGGCACGAAAGCGUGGGGAGCAAACAGGAUUAGAUACCCGCGUAGUGCCUGAGCGGGCUGGCAAGGCGCAU